Molecule: ribosomal RNA, 468 nt
Filed under: uncultured bacterium
Lineage: Bacteria
Description: partial 16S ribosomal RNA
Rfam family: Bacterial small subunit ribosomal RNA
Source: RNAcentral
GACGAACGCUGGCGGCGUGCUUAACACAUGCAAGUCGAACGGAAAGGCCCUGCUUUUGUGGGGUGCUCGAGUGGCGAACGGGUGAGUAACACGUGAGUAACCUGCCCUUGACUUUGGGAUAACUUCAGGAAACUGGGGCUAAUACCGGAUAGGAGCUCCUGCUGCAUGGUGGGGGUUGGAAAGUUUCGGCGGUUGGGGAUGGACUCGCGGCUUAUCAGCUUGUUGGUGGGGUAGUGGCUUACCAAGGCUUUGACGGGUAGCCGGCCUGAGAGGGUGACCGGCCACAUUGGGACUGAGAUACGGACCAGACUCCUACGGGAGGCAGCAGUGGGGAAUAUUGCACAAUGGGCGGAAGCCUGGUGCAGCAACGCCGCGUGCGGGAUGACGGCCUUCGGGUUGUAAACCGCUUUCGCCUGUGACGAAGCGUGAGUGACGGUAAUGGGUAAAGAAGCACCGGCUAACUACGUG